GGGUGGUCUAAUGGUAGUGGGUUCUCAGAACUUAUUAACAUUAGUGUCAUUAAAGUUGGUAUUCCACCCUCCAUUGCUAAAUUUGACUGGCUAAAA
RNAcentral lists this Y RNA (96 nucleotides) under Microcebus murinus (gray mouse lemur). RNAcentral's name for it is "Y RNA (ENSMICG00000042763.1)". It matches the Rfam family "Y RNA". From Rfam's summary of the family: Y RNAs are components of the Ro ribonucleoprotein particle (Ro RNP), in association with Ro60 and La proteins. The Y RNAs and Ro60 and La proteins are well conserved, but the function of the Ro RNP is not known. In humans the RNA component can be one of four small RNAs -- hY1, hY3, hY4 and hY5. Lineage: Eukaryota; Metazoa; Chordata; Mammalia; Primates; Cheirogaleidae. The record is from RNAcentral.